RNAcentral lists this ribosomal RNA (24 nucleotides) under Fagus sylvatica subsp. sylvatica. RNAcentral describes it as "partial 5.8S ribosomal RNA". The record is from RNAcentral. Lineage: Eukaryota; Viridiplantae; Streptophyta; Magnoliopsida; Fagales; Fagaceae.
AAAACGACUCUCGGCAAUGGAUAU